CGGCGAGUGAAGCGGCAACAGCUCAAAUUUGAAAUCUGGCUCCCUCGGGGGUCCGAAUUGUAAUUUGCAGAGGGAGUCUCGGGCGCGACACCGGUCUAAGUUCCUUGGAACAGGGCGUCACAGAGGGUGAGAAUCCCGUACGUGACCGGCCGUCAACCCCAUGCGAGGCCCCUUCGACGAGUCGAGUUGUUUGGGAAUGCAGCUCAAAGCGGGUGGUAAAUUUCAUCUAAAGCUAAAUACUGGCCAGAGACCGAUAGCGCACAAGUAGAGUGAUCGAAAGAUGAAAAGCACUUUGGAAAGAGAGUUAAAAAGUAUGUGAAAUUGUUGAAAGGGAAGCGCUUGCAGCCAGACUUGACCGUUGGUGAUCAGCCGUCCCUCGGGGCGGUGCACUCUCCCUCGGUCAGGCCAGCAUCGGUUUCGGCGGCCGGACAAAGGCCCCGGGAACGUGGCUCCCUCCGGGGAGUGUUAUAGCCCGGGGUGCAAUGCGGCCAGCCGGGACCGAGGACCGCGCUUCUGCUAGGAUGCUGGCGUAAUGGCUGCCAGCGACCCGUCUUGAAACACGGACCAAGGAGUCGACCAACCAAGCGAGUGUUUGGGUGUCAAACCCACACGCGUAAUGAAAGUGAACGGAGGUGGGAACCCCUCGCGGGGCGCACCAUCGACCGAUCCUGAUGUCUUCGGAUGGAUUUGAGUAAGAGCUCGGUUGGCCGGACCCGAAAGAUGGUGAACUAUGCGUGAAUAGGGUGAAGCCAGAGGAAACUCUGGUGGAGGCUCGCAGCGGUUCUGACGUGCAAAUCGAUCGUCAAAUUUGCGUAUAGGGGCGAAAGUAAGUUUUU
This 836-nucleotide ribosomal RNA is filed under the name Parakarstenia phyllostachydis. Its description in RNAcentral is "partial large subunit ribosomal RNA". It matches the Rfam family "Eukaryotic large subunit ribosomal RNA", at positions 87 to 935 of the family's 3401-position model. Lineage: Eukaryota; Fungi; Ascomycota; Lecanoromycetes; Ostropales; Odontotremataceae. The record is from RNAcentral.